AGAACGAACGCUGGCGGCAGGCCUAACACAUGCAAGUCGAACGCCCCGCAAGGGGAGUGGCAGACGGGUGAGUAACACGUGGGAACCUUCCUAUUAGUAUGGAAUAGACCAGGGAAACUUGGAUUAAUACCGUAUACGCCCUAAGGGGAAAGAUUUAUCGCUAAUAGAUGGGCCCGCGUAAGAUUAGCUAGUUGGUGAGGUAAUGGCUCACCAAGGCUACGAUCUUUAGCUGGUUUGAGAGAAUGAUCAGCCACACUGGAACUGAGACACGGUCCAGACUCCUACGGGAGGCAGCAGUGGGGAAUAUUGGACAAUGGGCGCAAGCCUGAUCCAGCCAUGCCGCGUGAAUGAUGAAGGCCUUCGGUUGUAAAGUUCUUUUAGUGAGAAAUAAUGAUGGUAUCACAGAAAAGCCCGGCUAACUUCGUGCCAGCAGCCGC
This 437-nucleotide ribosomal RNA is filed under the name uncultured bacterium. Its description in RNAcentral is "SSU rRNA". It matches the Rfam family "Bacterial small subunit ribosomal RNA", at positions 26 to 518 of the family's 1533-position model. The record is from RNAcentral.